RNA transcript from Pieris rapae (cabbage white), 5661 nucleotides. It is a transcript of the gene named ras-associated and pleckstrin homology domains-containing protein 1, with no coding region annotated. Lineage: Eukaryota; Metazoa; Arthropoda; Insecta; Lepidoptera; Pieridae. The record is from RefSeq and is a predicted model, not a curated record. The transcript is spliced from 14 exons.
CUCCCCCUGCCCCGCGCCGACACCGUAUUACAACUUUAGUUUUAUCGAAGUCGCUGCGUACCGAGCACGCUACCCGUUUACGAUCCCCUUUUGUUCUGCUACACUUAUAUCGAUUGUGAAAACGAAAGUUUUGCAAAUAUUGACAAUAUAGUGAAUGGGCCGAGGUCAACUAGUGGUAAACCAAAGAACUUGAACCUAAAAACAGUGUGUUUUUGUCAUUCUCGAACGCUCUACUGAGGAAGUUCUUCCGUGAUUUAUGAAAAAGCUUGGGAUAACGGAGCUUUUAUUAUCCGCUGUGCGGUGACUCAUCGAGUGCAAUGUGAUUUCAUGAACGAGAAAUGAUGGACGUAGUGAGUGAGUCUAGCAAGUGGCGUGGAGGGUUCCUCUCCACAAUAAACAGAAGCUUUCGCCUCAAAAAGUUGAAUUCUCCUGUAGAAAACAAGACCAUUGAAAUGCCUACGGGUCUCAAUUCAUCCACUGAAGCUUCAAGUAUGCGUCCCCUGGAGAUCGUAGCUCCAAGAAUAGACACAUAUCGGUUCUCCAUGGCCAAUCUUGAAGAGACCCAGGAUGCUGAUCUGGAUGCCAUCCUUGGGGAGCUAUGUGCGUUAGACUCGGAGUACGACGAGGAACUGUCCAGGGUAUCUGCAGAUUUCUCAACGACUUCAAAAGACCGAGUGGACGGAGAAGUUCCCCAGCGUCAGGACAUCAAGGAGACAGAUGGUGCCUCGCACAUAACAAGAACGGACUCGCCUGACAACGACUCCGCCUUUAGUGAUACGGUUUCAAUGCUCUCGAGCGAGUCGUCGGCUUCUAGCAGUGCCAGUUCGAAAUGCAAGCCUAUGAAACUUACCCUUCAUACCCAUCAAAAGGGUUCCCUUUAUCAACAGAAGGCCGAUAAAAUAAAAAUGGCUUUGGAACGAAUGAGAGAGGCAAACGUGAAGAAACUUUUUAUCAAGGCCUUUUCUAAUGACGGGUCAUCGAAGAGCCUUUUGGUGGACGAAAAAAUGACGUGUGGCUACGUCACUAGGUUGCUCGCUGACAAAAAUCACGUGCCCAUGGAGCCUAAGUAUGCGAUCGUUGAGCAGCUCCCAGAUUUGCACAUGGAACGUGUGUACGAAGACCACGAAAUGCUGGUGGACAACCUAAUGCUAUGGACCAGAGAGUCGAAGAACAAAAUACUGUUUGCAGAGCGACCAGAGAAAAAUUUGCUUUUUCAAACACCAGAAAAGUUUCUACUUAGCGAAGAUGACCGAGGUUGGUCCAGCGACCACGACGAUAAUUUACGACAAGUCAUCAUCGACGAAUUCUUUGGCCAAAGCAGCACAACUCCAUCAAUUUCGGGACAUACUGUACCACCCAUGGAAGGCUUUCUCUAUCUGAAAAGUGACGCUAAAAAGGGAUGGAAGAAGUACUACUUCGUACUUAGACCUUCUGGCCUAUACUAUGUGCCGAAAGACAAGGUGAAAACGUUGAAGGAGCUGGUGUGUCUGACGACAUUCGACAAUAACGAAGUAUACGUUGGUGUUAAUUGGAAGAAGAAGUAUAAAUCGCCAACUGAUUUUUGCUUCGCCAUCAAGCAUCCGAGACUGCAGCAACCGAAGAGUGUGAAAUUCAUUAAGUUCCUCUGCGCUGAUGACCAGCAGACAUUGGAUAGGUGGAUUACAGCGAUGAGAAUAGCUAAACAUGGAAGGCAGCUGCUAGAAAACUAUAGAUCGCUGGUAGAAGAGCUCACUCAAGAAGAUUUAGAUCACUUGGCUCAUGCGCGUUCUUGCUCUAUCUCCUCAAUACCCACUAAAACCAACAACCCGCCGAUGGUAACCAAUUCAGUGCAGCCAACAUCCAGCAAUGCGAGUGUUGCCAAUUCCGAUAUUAGUAGUGGAAGACAUUCCCGCGCUUCGUCAUCUAGUUCCAGCGGUUGUCUAUCAGAUGGAGGCACUGCGUCUGAGAGUGCUUUUGAUUGCGAGUUUCCUAUGGGUACAAUUAAACGCAAGCCAUCGAUGAAACCAAACAUUCCUUUGACCUGGAUGACACGGCAACUUAAAGAAAUGGCUGAAAAAGACGAAAGUGAGGGAGGUGACACCAGUACCCUGACCCGAAGACCUCGCCAGAGGGAUGAUACCCUCAAACGGCACGCAGGUGAGAGCUGGAGCAAACCUGAAAACGAACCAGGAGAUUGUAGCACUCUCACCAGAAGGCCUAGACAUUCUUUAGAUACAUCCGAAAGCGCAGUCUACAGUAGCAGUAGUAUGACGUCAUCAAGCUCCGUCCAGGACUCGUACGGCCAUUAUGAAACAAUUCCUCGUGACACCUACCGCGCUAGUGUCGACACCGCUUCAUCGCUUUACGGAUACACCAUUUACGAUAAAAGUCAAGUGGAAGAGUUCCCUCCGCCUCCCCCCCAAGACACAGGAAUGUUCAGCUCCACACUCAGUCUAGAUUCGCUACCACCGCCACCACCACCCCUGCCUGCAGAUUCAGUCGAAGACAUAACCGGGUCCCAAUUAAGCCUGCCUCCGCCUCCGCCAGAAAUAGAAAACACCGGUAGAGUACAAGACAUCGUCACGCAACUCACUGCUCAGCAGAUAGAACAAACAGCACCCAAGCGAUGCAGCAAAACCUUCCCAAGGCAGCCGUCAUUGGACAGCGUCAAUUCCGAGACUUCGAAGUCAUCCCUACAUUCCGAUAAGAGUCUAAGACAAAACGCAUACGGCGCUUGCUUAGUCGAACUGCAGACCAAAAAGCUAAGCAAUGGCAGCUCAUCAUUACAGAAGAAGUUAGAACCAGGUAAAGAACGAUCGAGCUCCUUGAAAAAAGUCAACUUUGCUGAUGAUCUUCCAAGCGACAAGAAGAAUAAAAAGAUAACAUUCAAUUUAACAGAGGCACCGCCGUCUCCCAGAAAACCUUUACCCCCUCGUCGGAAUGAAAGCACCAGAUUAUCGUCUCCGAAGAAAUUAGCAGAUUCGAACAGUAACCCACCCACAGAUUUCCUUAAAGAUUUACAGAGAGUGAUGAGAAAGAAAUGGCAAGUUGCGCAGAAGUGCAAAUUGGAGCCGACGACGACACCACACGAAGUACUUGGGUUCAGAGAGUAUCCGCUAUCAGACGAUUAUAAGGAGACGAGUGUAUCCAUGUGGGUGCAAGAGCACUACGGGGCUGGAUCUGUGGAAGAUCCGUUUUACGAAAACGUGUAUGGAAGAGAAACGUUGCCAGUGAGACGCGAGGAGCCAAAGCCGAUAAAGAAGAGACCUCCACCAGCACCUCCUAAGCGAAGUGACUCCACGCAUUUAACCACACAAUCAGGCGUUCACCUUCCCCACACUCUGCCCACUUCCAACGCUCCCCCGCAUCACGUUCAACCGACCGCUUGAUUAUUUAACUUUUCGCUCGCUUGUUGCUGGAUGAAACGAGACCGCGAAAUAACUAACAUUUAGCGAGCGAAAUUGUAGAGUUAGUGUAGUGACCUGCUCUCUAGUGUUCUCGGCGAGGCUUUGAACUAUAAUAGUCUCCGAGCAACAUUGAAUAGCCAACGCAUAAUCAUUCAAUUUGAGAGUGGCUUAAGGAUGGAUGUACGGCCGGCGGCAAAAAUGUUUGUGUAAAUAGUGAACGUAUGAAUUUUAUCUUCAGAAUUUUACAGUGUUUUUAAGGAUUUUUUAAUAUUUUUUACGAGAUGCAUGAACUAGGCUACCUUUUGAGCCCUCAUGCACUUUAUGCACACUUUCUAGGAAACUUGGGCCGAUAGGAACCAAAUGUUUAGAACACCUUAUUGAAAUUAAAUUUUUUGUAGCCGACUGUACUAAGGGAUACGACCAAUGGUUAAUUAGGUUAUGGAUAAAAUUGAAUGACGGUGCUAUUGUGAAAAGUAUACUAAUGUAGGUGAAUGUACUUGUGACCGCAAGGUUUUACCAAAUAUAAUUAUAUACCGCUUGCUUCUAGGCUAGUUACGAGUAUCUUCUAUUUAUUGGAUUUCAUUUAUGUUCCUAGUAGUUGCUCUAUCCGAGUAUUUCAGUUUUCAAUUGCUGCAUAUCUUGAACCGAUUUUCGAUUGAACUAUACGACCUGCACUACCUAUACACUGUCACUGUUGACAGAUUUUAUGAAUGACCAUGGGCACUUGAGAGAUGACAAGGUGUCAAGUGACAAUAUGUGUAGUAAUUGAGUAGAUUAGCUUUUUUAAACCCCCGUGUACACGUGAAACACCCCAUGUAUAUAAACCUUUUGCCAAGGACCAUUAUUUGCGCCGGCGCAUUGCUGAUCUCACUCCGAUUUUUUGUGGCUGUGACGAACUCAUGGCGAAGUAAAUUCUGUGGCGACUGUACCGUGAAAUAUAGGUAGCUGGGGUUUGAUUCUAUUGUAAAAUAUAUAAUUAUAAUUCUUAAAAAAUAAUAUGUAUAGAUUAAAAUGGUAGCUAAUUUUAUAGUCUUUAUGUUAUAUUUAUGAUAUUUGAGAAUGGAAAAGUCUCAAGAUCAUGGCCGACACUUUGAAUCGAUAAAAUUUAAGAAUCUCCAUUCCCAUAAACAGGCGAAUAAAUGAAUGUCUAAACAUCGAAUCUUAUCCCAGUCACCAACGCUUCGUAGAUUUGAAUUAUAAUUUCAAAAUUAGGAUAAAAGUUUGAGGCUUUGUAGAAAAAUAUCAAAUUGUUGGUUAUUUAAAAUUUACCUUAGUAUAUAAUCUCGAGUAGUUGAAAUUUUACGCGAAUAAAUGUUUAUAAUGUAAGACGCGGAAUUUCGUUCUUUUUUUUAAUUAAAGUUUAUACCUCUGUAAUUUAGAUAAUUUAUGGUAUAGGGGAGGUUUGUGAUGUAACAGAUUCAAAUAUCAGUUGUGGACGGCCACUGAGGUCUUUCAAUUUGAGCAUUCCACUCGUGGACUGAAAUGACUUAGACUAUUCGUAGCUAUCAAAAUUAAUCCUUCCAAUUUUCCCUUUGGGACGUAAGACUGAAUUCAUGUCCCGGGAUUUUGACAAUAACAUUGCGUCCAAAAUGACUUGACAAGUAGCACUACCUAAUUUUGCCUAAACAUCGCCUCUCAACUUUACUAACAAUAAACUAAUUGUAAACAAAUAAUUCUGUUAAACAUUCUUUGUAAGUAGAAUUUAAACUCUCAAAGAAGUAGUUUAUCUAUGGUGUAUUCUGAAUGUACUUUAAUUCGGUAUUAAAAAGAGAAAUGAACAUAAAGAAAAAUAACUAUGUUUCGCAAACCUUCUGAAAUAAUUUUAUGAUUUGUCAUAUUCUAUCAGCCAUAGCUUGUUUACAUAUUUCUCGUGAAUGACAUCUUAAUGGCUCUGUGCUUUUCUACAACUUAAACUAUAAAAUCAAUUUUAUUUGUUCAUAUCUCUUUUGUAAAACCAAAUAGUUUCAAAACUGUUCUAUUUUAUUCAUGCUUGUAUUCUUAUACUGUGGUUAAAUUUUUUAGAAUGUAAAUUAACAUAAUAUAAUAUAGGACCAUCUGUGCACAUAUAUCUUGAACCCAUUCUUGCGAUUUAUGUGAAGAGACGCUUAGAGGAUUUCGAAUUAAUAUAUGUACUUACUAAUAUAACAGAAGCAUGCAGUGUAGUUUUAGAAUUUUCUUGUUGUUUUAAUUUCCUGUUUUGAUAUAUAAAUCUGUAUUAAAUUGCGGUCAUAAAUUUAAAAAAUAUCGUAUCUUAUAAAAUGAUUUGCUUAUUAAU